Molecule: ribosomal RNA, 253 nt
Filed under: uncultured bacterium
Lineage: Bacteria
Also listed under: 1 other name
Description: partial 16S ribosomal RNA
Rfam family: Bacterial small subunit ribosomal RNA
Source: RNAcentral
UACGGAGGGUGCGAGCGUUGUCCGGAAUCACUGGGCGUAAAGGGCGCGUAGGCGGUCUGCUAAGCGUGCGGUGAAAGCCUGGGGCUCAACCCCAGGUCUGCCGUGCGAACUGGUGGACUAGAGCACUGUAGAGGCAGGUGGAAUUUCGGGUGUAGCGGUGGAAUGCGUAGAGAUCCGAAAGAACACCGGUGGCGAAGGCGGCCUGCUGGGCAGUUGCUGACGCUGAGGCGCGACAGCGUGGGGAGCAAACAGG